CAGAGUUACACAACUCCCAACCCCUGUGAACUUACCUACUGUUGCCUCGGCGGGACCUACCCGGGAGCCCUCGGGCGCCCCGGCGUGGCGGCCUGCCGGUGGACUACGAAACUCUUGCUUAUAACCUGGCUUCUGAGUAAAAACAUAAAGUAGUUA
RNAcentral lists this unclassified non-coding RNA (156 nucleotides) under uncultured Ascomycota. Its description in RNAcentral is "sequence contains ITS1". Lineage: Eukaryota; Fungi; Ascomycota. The record is from RNAcentral.